UACGUAGGGCGCAAGCGUUGUCCGGAAUUAUUGGGCGUAAAGAGCUCGUAGGCGGCUUGUCACGUCGGGUGUGAAAGCCCGGGGCUUAACCCCGGGUCUGCAUUCGAUACGGGCAGGCUAGAGUGUGGUAGGGGAGAUCGGAAUUCCUGGUGUAGCGGUGGAAUGCGCAGAUAUCAGGAGGAACACCAAUGGCGAAGGCAGAUCUCUGGGCCGUAACUGACGCUGAGGAGCGAAAGCAUGGGGAGCGAACAGG
Molecule: ribosomal RNA, 253 nt
Filed under: uncultured bacterium
Lineage: Bacteria
Description: partial 16S ribosomal RNA
Rfam family: Bacterial small subunit ribosomal RNA
Source: RNAcentral